This 253-nucleotide ribosomal RNA is filed under the name uncultured bacterium. RNAcentral describes it as "partial 16S ribosomal RNA". It matches the Rfam family "Bacterial small subunit ribosomal RNA", at positions 524 to 776 of the family's 1533-position model. The record is from RNAcentral.
UACGUAGGGUGCAAGCGUUAAUCGGAAUUACUGGGCGUAAAGCGCACGUAGGCGGCUUUGUAAGUUAGAGGUGAAAGCCCGGGGCUCAACUCCGGAACUGCCCUUGAAACUGCAGUGCUAGAAUCUUGGAGAGGUGAGUGGAAUUCCGAGUGUAGAGGUGAAAUUCGUAGAUAUUCGGAAGAACACCAGUGGCGAAGGCGGCUCACUGGACUGGUAUUGACGCUGAGGUGCGAAAGCGUGGGGAGCAAACAGG